This 126-nucleotide small nucleolar RNA is filed under the name Sorex araneus (European shrew). RNAcentral describes it as "Small nucleolar RNA SNORA61 (ENSSARG00000019159.1)". The record is from RNAcentral. Lineage: Eukaryota; Metazoa; Chordata; Mammalia; Eulipotyphla; Soricidae.
ACCCUCCCAACCCUUUCCCAUCAGAUCUGAACACUGGUGUUGGUUGUUUUAAAAGAAGUAAUUCUGAAGCUGGUCCCCCACUGUUCAUCAGCUGCCAUGUAGCAUAGAGAAUAGAAUCAAAGAAGU